UACGUAGGGUGCAAGCGUUAAUCGGAAUUACUGGGCGUAAAGCGUGCGCAGGCGGAUGAUUAAGUUAGGAGUGAAAUCCCCGGGCUCAACCUGGGAACUGCUUUUAAGACUGGUCAUCUAGAGUUUGUCAGAGGGGGGUGGAAUUCCAAGUGUAGCAGUGAAAUGCGUAGAGAUUUGGAGGAACACCGAUGGCGAAGGCAGCCCCCUGGGAUAAAACUGACGCUCAGGCACGAAAGCGUGGGUAGCAAACAGG
Molecule: ribosomal RNA, 253 nt
Filed under: uncultured bacterium
Lineage: Bacteria
Description: partial 16S ribosomal RNA
Rfam family: Bacterial small subunit ribosomal RNA
Source: RNAcentral